This 1221-nucleotide long non-coding RNA is filed under the name Citrus sinensis (sweet orange). Its description in RNAcentral is "long non-coding RNA (CSIN_LNC001416)". The record is from RNAcentral. Lineage: Eukaryota; Viridiplantae; Streptophyta; Magnoliopsida; Sapindales; Rutaceae.
CUCAAACAAUUUGUAUACAAUCUUCCAAAAGAUUACUCUUUGAUCACGCAUAACAAAUAACCAUACAAAAAUUUUUAUAUUAAAAUAAGCAAAUUUAAUACUAAAAAAUCUUGCCGCAUGCUGUUGUCUAAUGUUGCCCAUUUAUGAAAGCAAUAAAUUUCUUGUGAAAAUAUUAUAGAUUAUUUCCAGCAAUCACAGAAUCUAAAAGCUUGAGCUUGUGCUUAAUUAAACGUCUGACAAGGUUAUUUAAAUUUCUACUCACCUAUAUUUUAACUAUUUUUAUUAUUCUCAGGUUAUAUGGUUUUCAAUUUCAAACUCAAUAUUAGUCAAAGGAACAACGCUAAUUAAAAAGAUUAAAUUAAAUCAAGCAAUGCAUUAGCAAUCUGUAAAUUGAUUACUUAAGGUUAAGGAUCAACUUCUCAAAAUUAAUGCCCAGAAAAUAACUUAUUUUUAAAAGUUCAAAACAAACCCACUUAUUAUUAUUAUUAUUAUUAUUAUUAUUGGGAAGCAAUACAGAUUAGCUCCAGCAAAAUCGAUCCUGAAGAAGAGAUAACACAUUUGCUGCACGUCCUAUCUUUACAUGUGUGUACCCGCAAUAAUUAAUGAUUUGACUAAUAAGUUUGAUAUUAUAUAUAUAUAUAUAUAUAUAUAUAUAUAUAUAUGCACAAAGCGAGCCAGCGACGAGCAGCGGCAGCAGUGAGCCAGCGACGAGCAGCGGCAGCAGCAGCGAGCCAGCUACGAGCAGCGGCAGCAGCAGCGAGCCAGCGACGAGCAGCGGCAGCAACAGCGACGUGUUCAGGGGCUGAAGGUCACGAGUUCGGCUGAAUUAGAGAUUUAGAGUCACUUUACUCACUUUAGGUUUUGGACUUUUGGGAAUCCGGAUUUUAUUUGUGUUCGGUUCGUCGGUUCGGUUUUUCGGUUUUUUUUUUUAAACCGAAAACCGAACCGAUUGAUUUUACUAUUUUUUCGGUAUUCCUAUUUCGGUUUUUUGGAUAUAAAAAAACCGCAAAAAAACCGAACCGAACCGAACGGUUCGGUUCGGUUUUUGAUUAAUCAACUUUUUUUGCCCACCCCUAGUUUCGGGGGAAGUAGCAUUUUCCUUUUCUUGGUCUUGAGGGGUGUAGAAAUUUUGGAUGGGCCUCUUGGGUUUGGUGGCUACUAAUUAAACUGGACAUCGGCUGAAAAGUCCCUGUGAUUUAAAAUAGAGCAGGCCUGCCAUAC